AGAUGCCUUACACAUGCAAGUCGUACGAGAGUUUUUAACUCAAGUGGCGGACGGGUGAGUAACACGUAAGAAUUUGCCUUUAGGAGGGGGACAACAACUGGAAACGGUUGCUAAUACCCCAUAUGCUUUCGAGUGAAAUGGAUUUUCCGCCUAGAGAGAAGCUUGCGGCUGAUUAGCUUGUUGGUGAGGUAAUGGCUCACCAAGGCGACGAUCAGUAUCUGGUUUGAGAGGACGAUCAGACACACUGGAACUGAGACACGGUCCAGACUCCUACGGGAGGCAGCAGUGGGGGAUUUUCCGCAAUGGGCGAAAGCCUGACGGAGCAAUCUCGCGUGAGGGAUGACGGCCUAUGGGUUGUAAACCUCUUUUUUCAGGGAGGAAUCAACGACGUGUACCUGAAGAAUAAGCAUCGGCUAACUCCGUGCCAGCAGCCGCGGUAAGACGGAGGAUGCAAGUGUUAUCCGGAAUCACUGGGCGUAAAGCGUCUGUAGGUGGUUUAAUAAGUCAACUGUUAAAUCUUGAAGCUCAACUUCAAAAUCGCAGUCGAAACUA
Molecule: ribosomal RNA, 552 nt
Filed under: uncultured bacterium
Lineage: Bacteria
Description: bacterial SSU rRNA
Rfam family: Bacterial small subunit ribosomal RNA
Source: RNAcentral